This 217-nucleotide long non-coding RNA is filed under the name Arabidopsis lyrata. Its description in RNAcentral is "long non-coding RNA (ALYR_LNC000605)". Lineage: Eukaryota; Viridiplantae; Streptophyta; Magnoliopsida; Brassicales; Brassicaceae. The record is from RNAcentral.
GUACUGGGUGAGCCACCAUCCUUUAGAUCCGCCGGACCAGGUGUACCGACUGUCCGAAUCGAGACUUGACGACCUAGGGAUUCCGGAUUUUCACGGAGAUGGAAGAGCGAGGAUAGCCCCAAGCGCGACGGGUUGCUAGGUCGGGAUUCGUAGCCGUCGAACCGUCUCGUCGGAGACACUAACUUUCUAGGAGGUUUGUGGCGGGUUGGUUCAUCGG